CUUUCUAGCUCUAUGGUUAGCAGCCUUACGCCUUGUGCAAAGGGAAAGAGACCCAAUCGAGGGUCCCGUGCCUCGCACCGACACGUUUCUUUGCGUAUUACUAUCCGUCACUCCACUUGCAGUUGCCAAUAUUAUU
Molecule: non-coding RNA, 136 nt
Organism: Camelina sativa (false flax)
Lineage: Eukaryota; Viridiplantae; Streptophyta; Magnoliopsida; Brassicales; Brassicaceae
Source: RefSeq, a predicted model, not a curated record